AAACUAGUGUCGUAAUCUUGUAUUCUAUCAUUCUUGUUUCGAAGUUACGGUAUUUAAAAUUCCUUUGUACUCCUAUAAAUACCGGAGUUCAUGUAUGUACAACUCUCUUCUCUGAUUGUAACUCAGUGCUGAUGGUACUCACCUUAAUAAAGCAUUGAGAACUCUACCCGCUGCGUAUCACAUUCUGGAUAUCGACCAUCACUAGUUCAUUAUGGAAGCUGACGGUGAUUGAGUUAAAUCUGUUAUAGUUGUGAAAGAAUUUGUAAAUUUCUAAAACUUAUAAAAGCAGUCAAUAUAUAUGUAAAAAUAACAAUGGCUCGUACUAAGCAGACUGCGCUUAAAUCUAUCGGCGAAAAAGCACCACGCAAGCAACUUGCCACAAAGGCAGCUCGUAAAUCCGCCUCCUCAACCGGCGGCAUAAAGAAACCUCACCGUCAUCGCUCGGGUACUUGUCUUCCUGAAGAACAUAAAGUCCAUUCGGUAAAUUUAACCAUGAAUGAAAUUAUUCAACAAAGAAGUUCCAUUAAAUUUUGUGUGCUGAAUCAAAUUUCUGCUGCCGAAACGUUCAGAAUGUUAAAUAGGGCCUUCGGUGAUAACUCUUUGUCUCGAGCAAGUGUUUUUGAUUGGUACAAACUAUUCAAAGAGGGUCGAGAACGCGUUGACGACGAACCACGUCCAGGAC
This is a long non-coding RNA of Bactrocera tryoni, 682 nucleotides long. RefSeq lists it as uncharacterized. The record is from RefSeq and is a predicted model, not a curated record. The transcript has 3 exons. NCBI's taxonomy places the organism in Eukaryota, Metazoa, Arthropoda, Insecta, Diptera, Tephritidae.